Molecule: ribosomal RNA, 473 nt
Filed under: uncultured bacterium
Lineage: Bacteria
Description: SSU rRNA
Rfam family: Bacterial small subunit ribosomal RNA
Source: RNAcentral
AGGACGAACGCUGGCGGCGUGCUUAACACAUGCAAGUCGAGCGGAAAGGCCCUUCGGGGUACUCGAGCGGCGAACGGGUGAGUAACACGUGAGUAAUCUGCCUUCAGCUCUGGGAUAGCUCCGGGAAACCGGGAUUAAUACCGGAUAUGACCACUUCGGACAUCUGUUGUGGUGGAAAGUUUUUCGGCUGGAGAUGAGCUCGCGGCCUAUCAGCUUGUUGGUGGGGUAAAGGCCUACCAAGGCGACGACGGGUAGCCGGCCUGAGAGGGCGACCGGCCACACUGGGACUGAGACACGGCCCAGACUCCUACGGGAGGCAGCAGUGGGGAAUAUUGCGCAAUGGGCGGAAGCCUGACGCAGCGACGCCGCGUGGGGGAUGAAGGCCUUCGGGUUGUAACCCCUUUCAGCAGGGACGAAGCGCAAGUGACGGUACCUGCAGAAGAAGCGCCGGCUAACUACGCGCCAGCAGCCGC